Molecule: long non-coding RNA, 283 nt
Organism: Populus euphratica (Euphrates poplar)
Lineage: Eukaryota; Viridiplantae; Streptophyta; Magnoliopsida; Malpighiales; Salicaceae
Exons: 2
Source: RefSeq, a predicted model, not a curated record
UUUCUCAACAGUUAUAACCGCGACCGCCUGAGCUUUCUUCAAAUUAAAGAAAAACGAGUUCUAUAAUAUGUUGUUCAAAAAGAUUCUUCAGAUAAAAAAAAUAUAAAACAUCCACUCGUGUCUACCUCCUUGCCUUCAUCAUGUAAGACAUAUUUGUACUACAAGGGCAUAGCAAGAAAAUACAAAAGCAAUCCCAUAACAUAACAAAACAUCUAAAAACAGAAACUCUAGCAAGUAUCCAACAUAUGUUAUACUUGAAAAAUUUUUGAAAACCCAAAAGAUU